UCCAAAAUACGGAGUCGAAUAGCUGAGGAGUGGAAUCCUUAGUCAAUCAAAGAUGAAAAUUCAGGUGGAGUUUAUGUUUUGAAUUGGUUUUUGUGUAAAUUUCUUUCUUGUUGAUGAUUUCAGAUCAGUAGAUCUUAAUCUAUCUCUAAUGGGUCAGUUAAGGUUUCAAAGAACACUCGGAGAUAGCCUCUCUCUCACUCUCUCUCUCUCUCUCUCUCAUCUUUACCCAAGCUUCAAUUGGGGAAAAAAUCAAAAACCCUAACUUUCAAUUAGGAUAAUAUCUACCAGGCUUGAUUCGCUUUACCGAUCUCAUCUUUACCCAAGCUUCAAUUGGGGAAAAAAAUCAAAAACCCUAACUUUCAAUUAGGAUAAUAUCUACCAGGCUUGAUUCGCUUUACCGAUCUCAUCUUUACCCAAGCUUCAAUUGGGGAAAAAAAUCAAAAACCCUAACUUUCAAUUAGGAUGAUAUCUACCAGGCUUGAUUCGCUUCUAGGUUUUUAUUUAUUGUAAAUACUCUAGGUUUUUAUUUAUUGACUUAUUUCUUUAGUACUCAAUUUGAUUGGCUUGAUUUUUUUUCAUGGACUUUUCAUGAGCAAUGGCUCGUUUCUGAAGUGGUUCUGAGUUUAGAGAUCAAUUACAGAGGUUGAUUUUCCAGAGGCUGGCUUUAACUCAAACGGGUAAGUAUUUAAUUCAAAUUUAGAUUCAAGACAGGCUUGCAUCUGUGUUAUUUGGAAUUGCUGUUGAAAUUAAAACUCUGAUUAGUAUCUUUAGAGAGAAAGACUUGGAAGAUUCUCCUUUUUCAGUUUUGGCUUCAAACUUAAACGAAGAAGUUUCAGAGUUCAUAAGAAGGUCCAGGAGCUAUGGAAGAGUGGAGGGCUGCAGAGAGGAUCAAGAAGAGUAGUACAUGGUGGAGAGAUGGGUUCGGCCUUGGCAACAGAGGGAUCAAGUGUAUAUGAUUGAAGGGUGCACAAGGUGCUGUUACUGCUAUGAUGUACUUUACAUUGUUACAACCCUGCUCGCGCAUCCCAGCUAUCCUCUACUAUAAGAAAAUGUUACUGCCUCUGAUCGCUCUAUUUUUAACUUCUGUAUUCAGUCUGUUUCUCCAAUUCCAGUAUAAGUAAGAAACUUCAAAUUUGUUUUCAACUUGACACUACUACAGAAAGGUUUGGCAUUCUCAAAUGCUUGCCAUAAAAUUUACAUGAAGCAAAAUCUAUUCGGAUUGAAAAGUUCAAGACAAACUCAUGGAUGCUCUUAAUGAAUGUGAUGUGGCAAUGCUUGUAAAGUUGUAGUUAGAUUAGAUUGUAACUUAUAGUUUAGUGCACUUGGGAAAAUAAAUCUGUGCUCAUUUGAUAUUGUAUAUUGGAUGUUUAUAUAUAAGUUUGGUUAGUAAUGGUGUAAGUAAAUUUGCAUAUUUUAAUUUUUUUUUUGUUUCAUGAAAAAGAUACAAGGACGUUUUUUUAGUGUCCUUAUAGAUAUUUGAUAACGCUUUUUUAAGUUAUAAAGACGCUUUUCUAGUGUCCUUAUAAACAUUAGACGACGUUUAUUUAUAGAAACAAGGACACUUUUCCAGUGUCCUUGUAGAUAUUUAAGGACGUUUUUUCAACGUCCUAAUAGAUGACUUACUAUGACUCCUUGAUAGAUGACGUUUUUUUUGCGUGUCAUCUAAAGUUUUUUAUGACGUUUUUCAAACGUCCUUAAACCUAUUUUCUGUAGUAGUGAAUGGAAAUCGAAGAAUUGAGAUUUGGAUCGGUGUCGAAGAUCGGGGGGUGAAAUGAGGAGAGAUUGAGGUAUGAGGGAAUUAACAAUGGCGGAGAGAGAGAGAGAGAGAGAGAGAGAGAGAGAGAGAGAGAGAGAGAGAGAGAGAGAGAGAGAGAGAGAGAGAGAGAGAGAGAGAGAGAGAGAGAGAGAGAGAGAGAGAGAAUGCAGAUCGGGGGAGGAUGAGAGAGAGAGGAUAGAGAGAUCGAUGGCAUGGAUGUAAUUCAUUAAUUAGGUCGAGGGCAAAGUUGUCAUUUUAUUUUAAAUUGGGUAAGUGGGAAUAAAAAUCUGUUGGUGGGGUAAGUGAGAUAAUUUUGGCUCAUUUUGGUGCUUUGGGUCAAGGACCCUUAUAAAUAAGUGUAUCAUUUUGUU
Long non-coding RNA from Rosa rugosa (rugosa rose), 2127 nucleotides. RefSeq lists it as uncharacterized. The record is from RefSeq and is a predicted model, not a curated record. The transcript has 6 exons. Lineage: Eukaryota; Viridiplantae; Streptophyta; Magnoliopsida; Rosales; Rosaceae.